This 673-nucleotide long non-coding RNA is filed under the name Homo sapiens (human). Its description in RNAcentral is "HSALNT0310799". The record is from RNAcentral. Lineage: Eukaryota; Metazoa; Chordata; Mammalia; Primates; Hominidae.
CCAUGUUGUAAGAAAGGUUAAGAGGUUGAGCACCUCAUGAACUAUGGGACACUGAGAAAUUCUCCACUUUUUCCCUAAUUGGAUCUUCAUAAUGGAUCUUAAUGAUUAUGUCUAUAACAGUUGGUACAUCAGGAAUACCCCUUGUGCUGUGGUCUUGAUUUAAAGUACAUUACUGAAAAUAGUAAAAUCACCUUUGUGUAACUUAAGUUAUAAGUCCCCCCUACCAAAUGUUUUCAUUAUUUAAAAAGAUCUGUAGGACUUCUGAUGUCUCUGAAGGUUAAGGAAAUUUGAGUUCAAGGUUACUGAGUGCUAUUACCUCUUACCUCUUCUGUGAAAACUCAUCAUACACUUUUUAAUUCACAAGGAAAAGGAAGUCUAGAUUGUUUCUCCAUGGCUCUGUGCUAGAGACACAAAACAAGCAUUUCUAAAAUUAGAGAAAUAAUGCCUGCCUCAUGGAGUGGAAUGUGGACCAAAUGAGAUGGCAUAGUAAGGAGCAUGGCACAGUGCCCACCCCACAGAAGGUACACAAUAAAUGGCAGAUAAAGCUUUCAGUGAAUAAAGCUUUCAGAAGCCACGAAGACAAUACAAAGCCAAUUAUCUCUUAUUGUGAAACUGUAAAGAUGAAAAAGAGAACACAGAAAAUAACUCUAAAGCUCCAAAUUGAAGAAGUGAA